RNAcentral lists this ribosomal RNA (559 nucleotides) under Plectosphaerella cucumerina. RNAcentral's name for it is "eukaryotic LSU rRNA". The stretch from base 183 to 336 matches the Rfam family "5.8S ribosomal RNA". The record is from RNAcentral. Lineage: Eukaryota; Fungi; Ascomycota; Sordariomycetes; Glomerellales; Plectosphaerellaceae.
UCGUAACAAGGUCUCCGUUGGUGAACCAGCGGAGGGAUCAUUACUGAGUACUACACUCUCUACCCUUUGUGAACUAUUAUACCUGUUGCUUCGGCGGCGCCCGCGAGGGUGCCCGCCGGUCUCAUCAGAAUCUCUGUUUUCGAACCCGACGAUACUUCUGAGUGUUCUUAGCGAACUGUCAAAACUUUUAACAACGGAUCUCUUGGCUCCAGCAUCGAUGAAGAACGCAGCGAAACGCGAUAUGUAAUGUGAAUUGCAGAAUUCAGUGAAUCAUCGAAUCUUUGAACGCACAUGGCGCCUUCCAGUAUCCUGGGAGGCAUGCCUGUCCGAGCGUCGUUUCAACCCUCGAGCCCCCGUGGCCCGGCGUUGGGGAUCUGCCACGGCAGGCCCCUAAAACCAGUGGCGGACCCGAAGGCCCUCUCCUUUGCGCAGUAGCAUCAGCCUCGCAUUGGGAUCCCUCGGCGUCCUGCCUCUAAACCCCCCACAAGUCCGCUCCGGCGGCACCAAGGUUGACCUCGGAUCAGGUAGGAAUACCCGCUGAACUUAAGCAUAUCAAUAA